UGCCCCAUGGCUGAGUUGGUUACAGCGUCCGACUGUUAAUUCAGCGUGAAAAUCGCCGGUUACAAUAUCGGAAGGUCGAGAGUUCGAGCCUCUCUGGGGCAG
Non-coding RNA from Crucibulum laeve, 102 nucleotides. Lineage: Eukaryota; Fungi; Basidiomycota; Agaricomycetes; Agaricales; Nidulariaceae. The record is from the annotation of a GenBank genome assembly.